ACAGCAGCAGCCACGGUAAUACGUAGGGGGCAAGCGUUAUCCGGAAUAACUGGGCGUAAAGGGUGCGCAGGUGGUUUAACAAGUUAGUGGUGAAAGGCAUAGGCUCAACCAAUGUAAGCCAUUAAAACUGUUUAACUUGAGUGCAGGAGAGGAAAGUGGAAUUCCUAGUGUAGCGGUGAAAUGCGUAGAUAUUAGGAGGAAUACCAGUGGCGAAGGCGACUUUCUGGACUGCAACUGACACUGAGAGACGAAAGCUAGGGGAGCAAAUGGGAUUAGAUACCCGUGUAGUCCCUGUCUCUUAUACA
Molecule: ribosomal RNA, 305 nt
Filed under: uncultured bacterium
Lineage: Bacteria
Description: partial 16S ribosomal RNA
Rfam family: Bacterial small subunit ribosomal RNA
Source: RNAcentral